Molecule: transfer RNA, 64 nt
Filed under: Monomachus antipodalis
Lineage: Eukaryota; Metazoa; Arthropoda; Insecta; Hymenoptera; Monomachidae
Description: tRNA-Cys
Source: RNAcentral
AAUUUUAUAGUUUAAAAAAAAAUAUUAAAUUGCAAAUUUAAUGAUAUUUGACAAAUUAAAAUUU